AAUUAUCAACUGCUUUGAAUUUUUUUUUGAAGUGAAGUUGGAUUUGGAGUGUUUGCUGGUGAUUUCGAUCAGCUCCUCUUAAAAGCAUUAAAGCCGUCGUUAUUAUUCCUGGCAUUGAAGUAUCUUUGACGUGAUAACUAUCUACGUCGCAGAGAAAGCUUUGAAUGUGUUACGGCUUCAUUACAAAGUCGCCGAUAAGACUUUGCAUCGAUCA
This 214-nucleotide unclassified non-coding RNA is filed under the name uncultured Hydnellum. RNAcentral's name for it is "sequence contains ITS2". Lineage: Eukaryota; Fungi; Basidiomycota; Agaricomycetes; Thelephorales; Thelephoraceae. The record is from RNAcentral.